Molecule: ribosomal RNA, 637 nt
Filed under: Paronyx sp. NLG-2014
Lineage: Eukaryota; Metazoa; Arthropoda; Insecta; Coleoptera; Scarabaeidae
Description: eukaryotic LSU rRNA
Rfam family: Eukaryotic large subunit ribosomal RNA
Source: RNAcentral
GAGUCUAGCAUGUGCGCGAGUCAUUGGGACUCUAACGAAACCUAAAGGCGCAAUGAAAGUGAAGGUCCGCCCAGCGCGGACCGAGGGAGGAUGGGUGGUCCCGCGGGACCGCCUCGCACUCCCGGGGCGUCUCGUUCUCAUCGCGAGAAGAGGCGCACCCAGAGCGUACACGCUGGGACCCGAAAGAUGGUGAACUAUGCCUGGUCAGGACGAAGUCAGGGGAAACCCUGAUGGAGGUCCGUAGCGAUUCUGACGUGCAAAUCGAUCGUCGGAACUGGGUAUAGGGGCGAAAGACUAAUCGAACCAUCUAGUAGCUGGUUCCCUCCGAAGUUUCCCUCAGGAUAGCUGGCGCUCGCCUCUCGCGAGUCUCAUUCGGUAAAGCGAAUGAUUAGAGGCAUUGGGGUCGAAACGGCCUCAACCUAUUCUCAAACUUUAAAUGGGUGAGAUCUCCGGCUUGCUUGAACUGUGAAGCCGCGAGAUAUCGGAUCAGAGUGCCAAGUGGGCCACUUUUGGUAAGCAGAACUGGCGCUGUGGGAUGAACCAAACGCCGAGUUAAAGCGCCUAAAUCGACGCUUAUGGGAUACCAUGAAAGGCGUUGGUAACUUAAGACAGCAGGACGGUGGCCAUGGAAGUCGGA